CAAUAGCGUAUAUUAAAGUUGUUGCAGUUAAAAAGCUCGUAGUUGGAUUUGUGGCGUACGGUGUGUUCCUGGCACUUGUUGUCUGAGUAACCUGCUGUUGCCAUCCUUGGGUGGAACCUGUGUGGCAUUAGGUUGUCGUGCAGGGGAUGCCCAUCAUUUACUGUGAAAAAAUUAGAGUGUUCAAAGCAGGCUUAUGCCGUUGAAUAUAUUAGCAUGGAAUAAUGAGAUAGGACUUUUUUGCUAUUUUGUUGGUUUGCGCAAAGAGGUAAUGAUUAAUAGGGACAGUUGGGGGUAUUCGUAUUCCAUUGUCAGAGGUGAAAUUCUUGGAUUUUUGGAAGACGAACUACUGCGAAAGCAUUUACCAAGGAUGUUUUCAUUAA
RNAcentral lists this ribosomal RNA (380 nucleotides) under uncultured eukaryote. RNAcentral's name for it is "partial 18S ribosomal RNA". It matches the Rfam family "Eukaryotic small subunit ribosomal RNA", at positions 592 to 976 of the family's 1831-position model. The record is from RNAcentral.